CCUGGCUCAGAACGAACGCUGGCGGCAGGCCUAACACAUGCAAGUCGAGCGAGAUCUUCGGAUCUAGCGGCGGACGGGUGAGUAACGCGUGGGAACGUACCCUUUUCUACGGAAUAGCCUCGGGAAACUGGGAGUAAUACCGUAUACGCCCCUUGGGGGAAAGAUUUAUCGGAGAAGGAUCGGCCCGCGUUGGAUUAGGUAGUUGGUGGGGUAAUGGCCUACCAAGCCGACGAUCCAUAGCUGGUUUGAGAGGAUGAUCAGCCACACUGGGACUGAGACACGGCCCAGACUCCUACGGGAGGCAGCAGAAGAGAAUCUUAGACAAUGGGGGCAACCCUGAUCUAGCCAUGCCUUUAGAGUGAUGAAGGCCUUAGGGUUGUAAAGCUCUUUCAGCUGGGAAGAUAAUGAC
This 409-nucleotide ribosomal RNA is filed under the name Paracoccus sp. VV38. RNAcentral describes it as "bacterial SSU rRNA". It matches the Rfam family "Bacterial small subunit ribosomal RNA", at positions 18 to 455 of the family's 1533-position model. The record is from RNAcentral. Lineage: Bacteria; Pseudomonadati; Pseudomonadota; Alphaproteobacteria; Rhodobacterales; Paracoccaceae.